GAUGAACGCUAGCGGCAGGCCUAAUACAUGCAAGUCGAACGGUGUCUUCGGACAUAGUGGCGCACGGGUGCGUAACACGUAUGCAACCUACCUUACAUUGGGGGAUAGCCUUUCGAAAGGGAGAUUAAUACCGCAUAAGACAGUAGCUGGGCAUCCAGCAGCUGUUAAAGAUUUAUCGAUGUAAGCUGGGCAUGCGUCCAAUUAGCUAGUUGGUGAGGUAACGGCUCACCAAGGCAAUGAUUGGUAGGGGAACUGAGAGGUCAAUCCCCCACACUGGCACUGAGAUACGGGCCAGACUCCUACGGGAGGCAGCAGUAGGGAAUAUUGGGCAAUGGACGCAAGUCUGACCCAGCCAUGCCGCGUGCAGGAUGAAGGCGUUAUGCGUUGUAAACUGCUUUUAUACAGGAAGAAACGACUCUUGCGAGAGGCAUUGACGGUACUGUAUGAAUAAGCACCGGCUAACUCCGUGCCAGCAGCCGCGGUAAUACGGAGGGUGCAAGCGUUGUCCGGAUUUAUUGGGUUUAAAGGGUGCGCAGGUGGUUUAUUAAGUCAGUGGUGAAAGACGGUCGCUCAACGAUUGCAGUGCCAUUGAAACUGGUAGACUUGAGUAAAGUAGAGGUGGGCGGAAUUGAUAGUGUAGCGGUGAAAUGCAUAGAUAUUAUCAAGAACUCCAAUUGCGUAGGCAGCUCACUUGGCUUUU
Molecule: ribosomal RNA, 700 nt
Filed under: uncultured Arcicella sp.
Lineage: Bacteria; Pseudomonadati; Bacteroidota; Cytophagia; Cytophagales; Flectobacillaceae
Description: bacterial SSU rRNA
Rfam family: Bacterial small subunit ribosomal RNA
Source: RNAcentral